CACCAGCGGCGAAGGCGGCUUACUGGGUCUUAGCUGACGCUAAUGCACGAAAGCGUGGGGAGCAAACAGGAUUAGAUACCCUGGUAGUCCACGCCGUAAACGAUGAGUACUAAGUAUCUGGGGAAACUGGGUGCUGCAGUUAACGCAAUAAGUACUCCGCCCUGAGUAGUACGUGCGCAAGCAU
This 184-nucleotide ribosomal RNA is filed under the name uncultured bacterium. Its description in RNAcentral is "partial 16S ribosomal RNA". It matches the Rfam family "Bacterial small subunit ribosomal RNA", at positions 707 to 895 of the family's 1533-position model. The record is from RNAcentral.